This 575-nucleotide ribosomal RNA is filed under the name Levilactobacillus brevis. RNAcentral describes it as "bacterial SSU rRNA". It matches the Rfam family "Bacterial small subunit ribosomal RNA", at positions 38 to 578 of the family's 1533-position model. The record is from RNAcentral. Lineage: Bacteria; Bacillati; Bacillota; Bacilli; Lactobacillales; Lactobacillaceae.
GGCGGCAUGCCUAAUACAUGCAAGUCGAACGAGCUUCCGUUGAAUGACGUGCUUGCACUGAUUUCAACAUUGAAGCGAGUGGCGAACUGGUGAGUAACACGUGGGAAAUCUGCCCAGAAGCAGGGGAUAACACUUGGAAACAGGUGCUAAUACCGUAUAACAACAAAAUCCGCAUGGAUUUUGUUUGAAAGGUGGCUUCGGCUAUCACUUCUGGAUGAUCCCGCGGCGUAUUAGUUAGUUGGUGAGGUAAAGGCCCACCAAGACGAUGAUACGUAGCCGACCUGAGAGGGUAAUCGGCCACAUUGGGACUGAGACACGGCCCAAACUCCUACGGGAGGCAGCAGUAGGGAAUCUUCCACAAUGGACGAAAGUCUGAUGGAGCAAUGCCGCGUGAGUGAAGAAGGGUUUCGGCUCGUAAAACUCUGUUGUUAAAGAAGAACACCUUUGAGAGUAACUGUUCAAGGGUUGACGGUAUUUAACCAGAAAGCCACGGGUAACUACGUGCCAGCAGCCGCGGUAAUACGUAGGUGGCAAGCGUUGUCCGGAUUUAUUGGGCGUAAAGCGAGCGCAGGCGG